Molecule: long non-coding RNA, 400 nt
Filed under: Theobroma cacao (cacao)
Lineage: Eukaryota; Viridiplantae; Streptophyta; Magnoliopsida; Malvales; Malvaceae
Description: long non-coding RNA (TCAC_LNC004039)
Source: RNAcentral
UUCCUUCUUGGCAAUACAAAUUAUGUAAAUUUAUCUUAUGCUACAUUAAGAUAAAAUCAUAUUGCAUUUAUAAAACCUGGAAAAAGCUAGUACUAUUAAUAUGUGAAGUCUCAUAUUCGUGUCAACUCCGUAUUUCUAGACAUCUUUAAUAACAACAUAUAAAAACUAUUUCUUAUACCGGAAGAAAAUGUUAAAACGGCAUUCUCUUGCAUAUUUUCUUCAUGCAUGCCAAAGGGUAUUCAUGGUGUGUACAUGACUACAUUUCUAAAAGCAAGCAGACAAUUCGUGUCGGUUUUAGCCUUCUUUCUCUUGAUUGGACUCCCCCCAAAACUUACAAGUUUAACCAAUUUAUUACUUGAGUACUCAUUUAGAUAUCGAACUCUCCUACAUAUAUAUAUAU